RNAcentral lists this ribosomal RNA (601 nucleotides) under uncultured delta proteobacterium. RNAcentral's name for it is "bacterial SSU rRNA". It matches the Rfam family "Bacterial small subunit ribosomal RNA", at positions 56 to 630 of the family's 1533-position model. The record is from RNAcentral. Lineage: Bacteria; Deltaproteobacteria.
UGCAGUCGUACGAGAAAUCCCGAGCUUGCUUGGGAGAGUAAAGUGGCGCACGGGUGAGUAACGCGUGGGUAACCCACCUUCGAAUCUGGGAUAACUUCGCGAAAGCGAAGCUAAUACCGGAUAAGACCACAGCCGCUUCGGCGGCAGAGGUUAAAGCUGACCUCUCCAUGGAAGUUAGCGUUCGAGGACGGGCCCGCGUCCUAUCAGCUUGUUGGUGGGGUAAAGGCCUACCAAGGCAGCGACGGGUAGCUGGUCUAAGAGGAUGAUCAGCCACACUGGAACUGGAACACGGUCCAGACUCCUACGGGAGGCAGCAGUGAGGAAUUUUGCGCAAUGGGCGAAAGCCUGACGCAGCAACGCCGCGUGGGUGAAGAAGGCUUUCGGGUCGUAAAGCCCUGUCAGGUGGGAAGAAACCCUUCAGCACUAAUAAUGCUGAAGCCUGACGGUACCACCAGAGGAAGCACCGGCCAACUCCGUGCCAGCAGCCGCGGUAAUACGGAGGGUGCAAGCGUUGUUCGGAAUUAUUGGGCGUAAAGAGCGUGUAGGCGGUUCGGUAAGUCAGAUGUGAAAGCCCUGGGCUCAACCCAGGAAGUGCAUUUGA